UGCUUUGUCAGAGUGAGGACUUUGAUGUUUCAUGGGCAUUUGGGUAUGGGCAGAUAUCCCUACAGGCCACUCCUACAGCCACGUUAGGGGACCAUGGAGAACACAGACUGACCCACGAGUGAGUGGAGAACAGAAGGAUGGGGAGGUGAAGGGAGAGGAGCUCACCGGAAGAGCAAGGUUGGAAAGAGAAGAACUCGGAAAAGUGUGUGAUUCUACUGUGUCUCUCCUGGACACAGGAAGGAGAAUUUUAGCUAUGAUUUGGGACUGGGACAUCCCAUCUAAGAAGAGAGAAUUUCAGACAACGUACCUAAGGGAGUGGUUUCCAGUACUGGGAAUUGAACUCACAACCUCAUGCUUGCCAGGCAGGAGCUGUACCACUGAGCUAAAUCCCCAGCCAAAGACUAGACUUUCUAUCUACUCUCUAGAGAAACCUACUGCAAACGACAGGGAAGGAAUUUGAAAAGGUGUAAACUCCCAAGCCCAGAGACAGCUGCCGAGAGGAUGUUGAGGUGGAAAGCCAACUGUGGCAGUGGCUGACUGGGCAGGUGGCGAAUAGCACUAACACCUAGAAGCCCCCAAAAAAUGAGGAAGAAGAAGGCAAAAGGAAAUGAGAAGUGUUGCUCUAAAGAAUCUGGAAAGACUAGGAAUGGAUGGUUCUAGGUGCUUAUCAAGAUGAGGGAGAAGGUGGAGCCCAAAUACAAGGUCUGUCUGGGAAAUCUGGACCAGGAAGUUACACAGUGUCCCCUCGGCACCUCUCCCCCUGUCCUGGAAGAAGGCAGGAAGUUCACACUCUGGGGACACUGACCUGACAGAGGGAGUGGAGUGAGGGGCUGGAUGGAAGCAGAAAGAUUAAGGGAAAGUCCUUACAUAGAAGAACAAAGCUGCCAAAGCUCACCUCAGCUCCAGGCAUGGAGACCCAGGCUCAUUCUCCUCAUGGAGGGAGGCAAGGUUUUUUUUGGACUAAGUGACCAGACCUCAAGAACACCUACAUGGACCUGACAUUAAGUCCCCCAAGGACAUGCUUGGACCCCAGCUCAUCUUUCUGCAGGGAGCUCACCAGUUAGCUUCACCCACAUACACAGGGCCUCCAGUCAGCUUUCUAACACCUCAACACUAACACAAGCAGCCAAAGAUCUCCAGAUGUAAAAAGAAAUUUGCUAAUGUGAAAGACAGAGUUCAAAAACAAAAGCAAUUACAAAUCCACAGAGGGAAAACACGGAAGGAAUGUGAGAGAGGAGAACAUCAAAACCCUUCUGUUCAUCAUGAGUCACAGUAUCCCUGAAACAACAGGGUGCUGUGAUAAGGGAAUAUGUGUGAGUAAGAUGAGUCUCUUGAAAAUUAAAAAUGUGAAAGUACAAUAUUUUUAGAAAUCAAUAAGAUUAGACAGAAAUGUGAAGAAUAUCAUCUAGUAAAUGGUACCAAAAAAGCAAUGAUUUAAAAUAAGAAAGUAAAAUACACAAUGUCACUGUGAAACAUCAGAAUACUAAGGAUAAAGAGAAAAUCCUUCUUGAAAGUUCCAAAGAGAACAACAGUUUUUACAUAGUGAGUCACAAAGGCAGUGGAGAAAUGACUUCAGGAUCCCAGGAAAGUGAUUCCUAGACCUUGGCUCCUGGCCACACUUCCAGUCAGCAUGGAAUUAGAAUCAGGUUGUGUGAAAUGCCCCAGUGUGGGAAACAUGGUUAUGCUCGGCCCUAAGAGUUCCUCACUGUCCUUCCCCUUCACUUGUGCUCAGAUCAGAUGGCUGUGAAAGGAAGUGAUGUGGCCACUUCCCAGACAAUGUCCUCCUGAGAGGGACGUGAGCCCCGUGCUUUCUGCAGAGGCCUCAUUUGGAGAUGCUGGAACCACAGGACUCAGGCAGUUUGGGCUGAGGGAGAGCUCAGUGGUUGAGUGAGUUUUCAGCAUGCCUGAGGCUGUGGGUUCACUUCCCACCACUGCAAAAUAAUGAACAAAUGUCGGAGGAGGUUGGAUCACUGGUCUGAUGCUUGGGCAACAGCUGUCUUGGACAGUCCUGAAUUUUUGGCCAAUUUAUGAGCCAGACAGAGACUUGGAAUAAGAUGUGAUCAAAAAUACAGUGAAUGCCAGGCAUGGUGGUGCAUACAUGUAAUCCCAGUACUCGGGUGGCUGAGGCAGGAAGAUCGCCAUGACUUCCAGGCUACUCUGGACUGCACAAUAAGACCCUGUCUGAAAAACAAAACAAAAUAAAACAACAAAAAAAUAGUGACUGUUGAAAUUUUUUAAAAAUGUAUUAUAAUAAGAGAUGCAUUGCCAUUAGUUCCCUUGAGAUACUCCCUUUUCCCUUGAACAUACUUAAUCCCAUCAUUCUUGCCAUUUUCUGAAGCAGCUCUGGAGUCCUCCUUCCUGGGUGUCUUUAGUUGCACUGUCAUGGCUGCCUUCAUGUCCUGAACCAAUUCAGAAUUACCUUUCAUGGUCGUUUUGACUUUGGGGAAGAGGCAGAGUCACACAGUUCCAGGCCCAGGGAAUCAGGACACAUGGUGAUGUUUUUAUGAGUCUGCCUUUCAUUGGAUGGUACUCAACAGCAGCAUUCACAUUUUUGAUCACACCUCAUAAAGAUACUCACAGAAGAAGACUUCUAGAAGUGUCUCAGCCAGUGGCAAGAAACAUGAGAUCAGUGUGUUCAAAGUGACAGGAGAGACCUUCAGGGAGAUUAAUGGUGAUAUGUCAUCUACUGUAAUAAAGUUUUGUUAUGUAAACACAUGACACACACCACAUUUUGAUCAGCUCUUAUAUUAAACCAUUGAGAACUGGGGUGUAUUUGUUACUAUAGCACAGUUCAGCCUAGCCUAGUACACAACCUAACAAAAGUAUUUCUAACUAUAUUACACCAUUUCUCAAGAAAUGUAUGAUGGGGAUCCUGUGACCUAGCAAUUCUACUUCUAGACUCUUUGUGGCAGCUCUGUCUCCAACAUCCGAAUACUUUCCAUUCAUGCCACACAUCACAGCAAAAAAUAAGCAAAGGAAUAAACUACUCAGCAACGACACGGCUGACUCUCCCAAGUUUGAGAGCAAGUGGGACGCAGGAGUGCACCUGCAUGACUCUAUCACUUGAAGCUCAAGAGGCGGCAGAGCGGGUUGGUGGUGACAGAAGUCAGAACCGGGAUCAGAACAGACAGGGAGGGAGGCAUAGAUUGGCAGAGGCACAAAGGAGCCCUACAGAUGGCUGGAAUUAUCUGACACUUUCUUCCGGACGGUGGUUAUGUGAAUGUAUACGUGUCCAAAAAUUUACGAGCUGGACGCUUACAUUUAGUGAUUUUUAAGUCUGCUGCCCCUCAAUUAAAAAAAAAUAAGUUUGGAGAGAAGCUACUGGAGACUAGGUUUUAGCAAAAUGUAGGUAUGAACCCAAAGCAGAAAGUGUGAGGUCUAGGCAAUCAGAAAUCCCCGCUGCCCGAGAACAGGGAUGCGAGAAGUUCCUAACUAGACACAGGGCCUCUAAGUCAUUUAGCUGCACAGCUGGUCAUUAAACUGCCCAGACUGGGCUCAUGCAGGCCUGCACCACCAUGCCUGGGCCUUACUCCUUCCUUAUACUUGUUAUAAAAAAUUCAAAUGUAGCCAGGCAUGGUGUGAUUAGGCCUGUAAUUAUGCCUGUGAUGCCAGCUAUUCAGGAGGCUGAGGUAGGAGGGUUUAAAGUUAGAGCCCAGGCUAGGCAGUUUAGUAACACCUUACUUUAAAAUAAAACAAGAAAGGUUGAGGGUGUAGCUUACUGGUAAAAUGCCCCUGGGUAUGAUCCUUAGUACAUACAUACACACAUACACACAUACAUACACACAUACAUACAUAGGCAGAGGAUAUAGCUCACUCAGCACCUCUUGAGUUCAGUCCUGAGUACCAAAAUAAAAGGUUGUUUGGUCAACAUUGAAGACAGAAAGAAAAUCAAGAGCAGGGUCUUGGAAGGCUCAGUGGAGGUUUUUUCCUGGUAGCUCUGUGUAGGGAACAGCGUGUGUCUGGUGCUAGAACAAAGAUUAGGAUGUCAAGCUCUGGUGAAAUAAAGGCUUUAGGUUUCUGGCCAACGGAAGGGCCCUCUAGUGGUCUCAGAGUAACAGGCAAACCCUAAAAAGCAUCCUUAAAUCACCUCAUUCCUGGGGGAAAACCGUGGUACACCAAGCAGUAAUUUGAGUACUAUGUUACCACGGGAAGAAUGUGUUCAAAGGUCAGAUGUAGGAUUGGAUUCUCCUAGGAGUCCUAAACUGAGCUAUUUAUUUUUUUAUUGCAGUGCUGGGGAUGGAGUCUUCUAUAUGCUAGGCUACCCCUGAGCUAUACUCCAGCCCUUAUCUAUAUUUGCAAAAAGGAAUAAUAAUAUCUACUCUAUCCAGCAAGCUCGAGGAUAAAAACAUAGUACAUGUAAAAAUGACCAGCCUUACGAUGAGAAUAUGCAUAAAGUCUGAAGAUUUUGGAAGUUACCUAAAUUCAUAAUUUAAAUUUCAUCUCUAGUGUUGAUACCAACUCGUAUGCAGCAGGAAGUCUGAUACAUGUCGCACUUGGAGGUUCCGAUUCUCAUUGUUGGAAGAUAAACGUUUAGCCAUUCGUCAGUCUUUGCAAGAGACAUGUACCAUUCACAUUGUCAUGAUGUUCACAUCACCGAACAAGAAAAGGGGAAGAAGACCGUGCUGCAGGGAUCUGGGGUGAGGAGGGAGAAGCAUCUGCGGCUUCCAGCACCUCCUGCUUUAGGACCAGACACCAUCGGUCUGCACCACUGUCCCCAGUUAUACUGGUGGCAGUGUCAGCAUCCAUUUCUGGCUCUACACGGAAAAAUACUCCUCUGCCUGCAGUCCUCCCUGGUACUCACCCCAGAUUGACAGUUUCCUUCCAAGGGGGCAGUACCAAGUCCAGGGAGCCAGUAUUGAGUCCAAGGAGCCAGUACCAAGUCUGGGGAGCCAGUACCAAGUCCAGGGAGCCAGUACUGAUCCCAAAGAGUCAGUACUGAGUCCAAGGAGCCUGGGUAACAUAUUCCAGGGAGAGGGCUGGUGGGAAGUGUGGGAUGGAUACAGGCACCCAUUUAGGCAGCAUUUUUAUCUUAGGCUUUGAAGAUUUUGCUACUGAACAUCAAAUUUCUCUUCUUUGGCUGUUUGGCUAUAUAUUGGUUUUUUUCUGAUGUGAAAAAGGGUUUCAUCUCUGCUGUGAAAACCAAGCACAGACUGCAGUCACAGACACCUCUUCUUGUGGGAACCAUAUUUUCCCACUAUUAUGCAAAGAGCCUGCCUCUGCUCCUGUCUGAGGAGACCCCUACACAGCAGGAGUCUUUCCCUAAAACUAUUUCCCCUACCUUCUCCAUUCCACUGCUUUGCAUUUCAUACACGCUACCGCAGGCAGUUGUCAUUAUUUGUCUUGCUCCCAUGGAAAUGCAUUUUCUGAGCGCUCCCUGUCACUUGUUCUGAUCCUACUGUUUGUCAAAACAUUGCCUCUGAAGUUGCCUCCUUCUCCAAGAAGCCAAAAAUAUAUAAAUAUUUCUCAUCACCUACAAGUUCAUCCAUCACAAAUCUCACCGGGAUUUGAAAUUAGGGCGACUUGGGGUUUUUGUUUCCAUGAGGGUGAUUCCCAUUGUAACACAGUGAAGGAAUUAUAGGAUUCAAAGAUCUCCCCCUUGAACCCGGCAUAUUAAAAAAUGGUCACAAAAAGCUUACUUUGCUGUGUGCUCAUGCUGUGUGCAACAGGAAGGCCAAACCCCACCUUUGGGAGGGGGGCAGUGGGCAGGGGGGAGGGGGCACAGACCCACAAUCAGGAACUUCAGAAUCGGGUCCUACGCUCACUGUGGUUUGGCUGCUCUGGGGCCAAUGCACACACCUUAGCUGCGCUUUCUCGCCGGUGGCUCACUCAUAACCUAAAGACGCUUCAGAUGCCCCUGGAGUCACAGUUCCUUGGUGUUCUCUGCACCCUCUUUCCUUUGCCACCCUCUGCUUAUGACCUGGGUGUGCUGGCGAUGGCUUGUUAAGCUCAUUGUCAGGCAUUAGGUUAGACCCAUAUCCCGGAAGGUCAGUGCUCUGAUGUGCCUCGUCCCCAGCCCUUCCAUGGCUGCCCACUGCCUCCCUGGUGUUUUGGACUCGCCUCGGUGGAGCCACAAGCGCCCACUGGAGAGCAGUUACCAGCAAUUCCCACACGCCUUUUAGAGGCUGUGAGGCUUGACAGAUCGAGUCAGCUUGAGUAAAGAAGCUCAGUUAAGCCGGUUCAUCAGCUCCACACCCUAGGAUGUGGAAGGCCCACCCUAGGGAGGCUUGUCACCUGGACAGUAUAAAGAGGGAAGGAAGAAGGACCGAUCUGCUUCUAUUUUUUUGGAGGAGCUCCAGUCUUUGCCUGCACUUUAGACGUCCUCUUCUGGCUUCCAACGCAGACUCUUCAGCUUCUGGCAAAGAUCCUUCAGCUUCCAGCAUAGACCCUUCAGCCUUCCAUCAAAGACCCACCGGCCUCCUGAUAUGGACUUGCAUGGACACUGCAGUGAGCUCCAGACCUUCAGCUGUAUCCUUCGGUCUCUGGUGUGCAGACACCCUCUGCGCGCUUCCUCAUCUGACUGUUGGUGGCCACUGUAAGCCAGUCUUGUAAACUGUAAUAUGUAUUUGCAUAUCCUGUGCUGUAUCUCUCUCUAUAGUAAACUCUGAUACAGAGGGCAGCCUGUUUGAACACUGGUUCUGCCAUCUCCGUACUGUGCUCUGUGUCUUCCUAUUUUCACAGCACGUCCCACCCCGCGUGUGUCUGUAUUUUUCUUCCUUGCCUAAUAAAUGGUAAU
Long non-coding RNA from Chinchilla lanigera (long-tailed chinchilla), 6733 nucleotides. RefSeq lists it as uncharacterized. The transcript has 4 exons. The record is from RefSeq and is a predicted model, not a curated record. Lineage: Eukaryota; Metazoa; Chordata; Mammalia; Rodentia; Chinchillidae.